This 600-nucleotide ribosomal RNA is filed under the name uncultured Actinomycetes bacterium. Its description in RNAcentral is "SSU rRNA". It matches the Rfam family "Bacterial small subunit ribosomal RNA", at positions 242 to 853 of the family's 1533-position model. Lineage: Bacteria; Bacillati; Actinomycetota; Actinomycetes. The record is from RNAcentral.
CAGCUUGUUGGUGGGGUAACGGCCUACCAAGGCGACGACGGGUAGCCGGCCUGAGAGGGCGACCGGCCACACUGGGACUGAGACACGGCCCAGACUCCUACGGGAGGCAGCAGUGGGGAAUAUUGCGCAAUGGGCGAAAGCCUGACGCAGCGACGCCGCGUGGGGGAUGAAGGCCUUCGGGUUGUAAACCCCUUUCAGCAGGGACGAAGCGAAAGUGACGGUACCUGCAGAAGAAGCGCCGGCUAACUACGUGCCAGCAGCCGCGGUAACACGUAGGGCGCAAGCGUUGUCCGGAAUUAUUGGGCGUAAAGAGCUCGUAGGCGGUCUGUUGCGUCCGCUGUGAAAACUCGGGGCUUAACCCCGAGCCUGCAGUGGAUACGGGCAGACUAGAGGUAGGUAGGGGAGAAUGGAAUUCCCGGUGUAGCGGUGAAAUGCGCAGAUAUCGGGAGGAACACCGGUGGCGAAGGCGGUUCUCUGGGCCUUACCUGACGCUGAGGAGCGAAAGCGUGGGGAGCGAACAGGAUUAGAUACCCUGGUAGUCCACGCCGUAAACGUUGGGCGCUAGGUGUGGGAUCCUUCCACGGAUUCCGUGCCGCAGCU